RNAcentral lists this non-coding RNA (20 nucleotides) under Arabidopsis thaliana (thale cress). Lineage: Eukaryota; Viridiplantae; Streptophyta; Magnoliopsida; Brassicales; Brassicaceae. The record is from RNAcentral.
GAAGUGAAGUGGUGAUGUCC